CAGCGGCCUUCCCUUCGGGAAUCGCCGUUCCCUGGGCCCCUUGCCCGUGAAAAACGGGCGGCAGCCUGCGGGCUUCCGUGGCUGCCUGGCGGGAAAGAAGGGGUUUUUCCGCCAUGUUAAACUGCCCGGCCGCUGCCGGUGCCGUUGCGUGUGUGGGCGGGGCUGAGGGGAGCGCGGAGCGGGGACGGAGCGAGUGAGCUGCUCUGCCAUGGGAAUGCUGCGCGAAGCUGCGUUUCAGCGUUUCCAAGAUUAUUCGACUUUACGAGCCUAAAAAUGGGUGACCAAGGAAGAUGUGGCAGCCAGCAGUGGCCAUCACCUGGAGGGAGCUGUGGCAGAGGCUAGCAGAGGAAAAUGGACCAUGUUAUACAGGUGGCUUAACUUCCUGUUGUUAUGCAUACAGCUGUGGAGGAAUGUUACCUUCAUUCCACAAGAAUCCUGGCCAAGGAGAAGAGCUGAGAACUGG
Zonotrichia leucophrys gambelii is the source of this 463-nucleotide long non-coding RNA. RefSeq lists it as uncharacterized. The transcript has 3 exons. Lineage: Eukaryota; Metazoa; Chordata; Aves; Passeriformes; Passerellidae. The record is from RefSeq and is a predicted model, not a curated record.